GCUUACGGCCACACCACCCUGAGCACGCCCGAUCUCGUCCGAUCUCGGAAGCUAAGCAGGGUCGGGCCUGGUUAGUACUUGGACGGGAGACCCCCUGGGAAUACCAGGUGCUGUAAGCU
Molecule: ribosomal RNA, 119 nt
Filed under: Myripristis murdjan (pinecone soldierfish)
Lineage: Eukaryota; Metazoa; Chordata; Actinopteri; Holocentriformes; Holocentridae
Source: RNAcentral